Molecule: ribosomal RNA, 235 nt
Filed under: uncultured bacterium
Lineage: Bacteria
Description: partial 16S ribosomal RNA
Rfam family: Bacterial small subunit ribosomal RNA
Source: RNAcentral
UGUAGAGAAUCUGCCUUUGAGCGGGGGACAACAGUUGGAAACGAUUGCUAAUACCCCAUAUGAGCGUACCUGAAAUGGUAUUCUUGAAAACUCCGGUGCUCAAAGAUGAGUCUGCAUCUGAUUAGCUAGUUGGCGGUGUAAUGGACCACCAAGGCGACGAUCAGUAGCUGGUUUGAGAGGAUGAUCAGCCACAAUGGGACUGAGACACGGCCCAUACUCCUACGGAAGGCAGCAG